AAAUAUGGCCGCGCCGGUAGGGCUCGGUCUUUUAAGACUGCGUCUCUGCGGUGACUGUGGUUUGGUGAGUCGUCUUAUAUCUACCAACUCUGUUGUUCUGGGUCUGCCCUCGGCGUCCGGCACCCGGGCUCUCAGUGGAAGAGUCACGUCGGGGCCGGACCCCGCGUGGGAAGCCGGGGUUAAGUCGCCUAUUUAUGGCUUGGCCCGUUCGACAUGUGCCUCCCAAUCCAGCGAGGGCCAUCUUUUCGGAAUCCCAAAGAACUGAUCGGUGAUUGCAAGUGACUCCUUGAUUGAGGAAAGAAGAGGAUUUGCCACAACCACCUCCUGAAGGUUAACAUGUGAUUUUUGAGGCCUUUAACUAUUCAGAUUGGUAAAGCUCUGUAUUACGGGGUUAGCUGAGAAUCUUGGUGUCUAUGUUCUAUGGGAUGUGUAAGGACCUGUUUGAUCUCCCCAGGAUCAUCACUUGUGCUUGUUCAUGUCCAUAUUCACUGUAAGAUCACAUCAUAGGUUCAAGACCGCACUGGGUUACAGAAUUCAUUUGUAUUUUAAAUAAAUGUUUGUAAUAUACCUGACA
RNAcentral lists this long non-coding RNA (574 nucleotides) under Meriones unguiculatus (Mongolian gerbil). RNAcentral describes it as "lncRNA (ENSMUGG00000015907.1)". Lineage: Eukaryota; Metazoa; Chordata; Mammalia; Rodentia; Muridae. The record is from RNAcentral.